AUACUUACCUGGCAGGGGAGACACCAUGAUCACGAAGGUGGUUUUCCAGGGAGAUGCUUAUCCAUUGCACUCCGGAUGUGCUGACCCCUGUGAUUUCCCCAAAUGCGGGAAACUCGACUGCAUAAUUUGUGGUAGUGGGGGACUGAGUUUGCGCUUUCCCCUG
RNAcentral lists this small nuclear RNA (163 nucleotides) under Octodon degus (degu). RNAcentral describes it as "U1 spliceosomal RNA (ENSODEG00000021100.1)". It matches the Rfam family "U1 spliceosomal RNA". From Rfam's summary of the family: U1 is a small nuclear RNA (snRNA) component of the spliceosome (involved in pre-mRNA splicing). Its 5' end forms complementary base pairs with the 5' splice junction, thus defining the 5' donor site of an intron. There are significant differences in sequence and secondary structure between metazoan and yeast U1 snRNAs, the latter being much longer (568 nucleotides as compared to 164 nucleotides in human). Lineage: Eukaryota; Metazoa; Chordata; Mammalia; Rodentia; Octodontidae. The record is from Rfam by way of RNAcentral.